CCUGUGAGGAGGAGUUAAGACUAAACCCAAAUGUCUUUCACCUCUAUAUAUCUAAGUAUAGAAAGUUUGACAGAGAGCAGCUGGCACACAGUUUACCAGUAUGGGCUACAAGACAGGACUACUGAUUUUGAUGAUCUGCUUUGCAGGUGUUGAUGGUCAAACCCUGACUGAGUCUGAACCAGCAGUUAAAAGGCCUGGAGAAUCCCACAGACUGACCUGUACGACCUCUGGAUUCACAUUCAGCAGCUACGCUAUGGACUGGGUCAGACAGGCUCCUGGAAAAGGACUGGAGUGGAUCGCUUUUAUACAAACAAGGAGUACUUCUAGGUAUUACUCCCAGUCAGUCCAGGGUAGAUUCACCAUCUCCAGAGAUGACUCCAGCAGUAAAGUCUAUCUACAGAUGAACAAUCUGAAGACUGAGGACACAGCAGUUUAUUACUGUGCCCGACACAACACACUGACACAACCAGCUUAUGUGACUAAGCAGCCAGGCCAGCGUCUGUCCAUCACCUGUCAGGUCUCUUAUUCUGUGGGCAGCUACUUCACAGCUUGGAUCAGACAGCCUGCAGGGAAAGGACUGGAGUGGAUUGGUAGCAAAUUUACUGGAGCUUCAUACUACAAAGAUUCACUGAAGAGCAAGUUCAGUAUAGACUUAGACUCUUCCAGCAACACAGUUACUCUAAAUGGACAGAAUAUGCAGCCUGAAGACACUGCUGUGUAUUACUGUGCCAGAGACCCACAGUAA
Molecule: non-coding RNA, 745 nt
Organism: Oreochromis aureus
Lineage: Eukaryota; Metazoa; Chordata; Actinopteri; Cichliformes; Cichlidae
Source: the annotation of a RefSeq genome assembly